UCGCAGACCAACUCUAUUUGUAU
Molecule: small nuclear RNA, 23 nt
Filed under: Arabidopsis thaliana (thale cress)
Lineage: Eukaryota; Viridiplantae; Streptophyta; Magnoliopsida; Brassicales; Brassicaceae
Description: snRNA_04882
Source: RNAcentral